CUCUUUUGUCUGAGAAGAGUGUUUUGGACAACUAUAAAAAGAUUAAGAUGGAAAAGUAAAGAGAGACAGAACUCUGAGGAAUACCAACAAUGCACACAUGACUACUUCAAGACUAAGAAGCAAAGAAGAGUAAGAAGAGUUUCUACAGACUGAUAUAUCAAAGAGGCUGGGAACUGUAAAGGGUAAACAAGCAAGCAAACAAACAAAAGAACUGUGAAGGGUUUAUUCACUCUGUUUUGCAAGCCAACAAGUAAGUCUACCACAAUUUCAGAAUACUGACAGGAGGCAUGAGACUCUUGAGUCAGAACACAAAGGAUUGUAUUGUCUGUGACUGAGCAGAACAUGAACUUUUUUUUGCAUCUGCUCUCUUGUCUUCCAAGUUCCAGGGAUCAGUGAAGAGUGGACCCAGGUGACACUGCACACACGGUGAGUACACAUGGCAGAUACGGACUUGAUGCUUAGGAAACCCCAAUCUUUUAACCUGUACCGUGAGCAAAAUUGCCCAACUUUGUUAGGAGGGAAAUAUUAUCUCCAUUAUACUUGUUAGCAAAUAACAUGCUUAUUGAGGGAAGCCUCCGCCUUCUAAGAAGACAUGGUAUGUAGAAAUCUUUGAAAAGAUAUUCCACAACAAAAAGCUAUCAGUGCCUCUGUUAUCAAAGAUGUGCAAAAAUAUGAGUAAUUCCUAGAAAACUGUCUUCAAUAAAAGGGAGAAACAAAAAUA
Long non-coding RNA from Suricata suricatta (meerkat), 721 nucleotides. RefSeq lists it as uncharacterized. The record is from RefSeq and is a predicted model, not a curated record. The transcript has 2 exons. NCBI's taxonomy places the organism in Eukaryota, Metazoa, Chordata, Mammalia, Carnivora, Herpestidae.